Ruditapes philippinarum (Manila clam) is the source of this 2706-nucleotide long non-coding RNA. RefSeq lists it as uncharacterized. The transcript is spliced from 4 exons. The record is from RefSeq and is a predicted model, not a curated record. Lineage: Eukaryota; Metazoa; Mollusca; Bivalvia; Venerida; Veneridae.
GAAGAAUCAAUGCUAUCAGAACACAACAUCAUGGAAGGUCUUAUUGACAAGAUCUUAGGGGAUCUUCUUUGCCAGAUGCCUCGCCAGCACUAAAGUCUAUUCUUCAGUCAGAUGCUACAGUUACAAAUGACAGUGAAUGGUCAGAUUUAUACAAUUGUGAUGAACAAUCCUCAACAAUACAUCAAACAAAAAUGCCUAUUAAACUUUCUCACAGACAGUCAAAGGUUGAAAACAAAUCAGAAGUGGUCCACAUCUUGAAAAACCUCACAGCAGUUUAAGACUUUCCCCGAAAUGUCCCUGUAAAAGCCGCAGUGGUAUGUCCAGUGCAGUAGAUACUGCCUGGCACAAAAGAGGAUUUGACAGUUUAACAUUGUACUGCAUCAAUAAACUAAAUAUGGAGAGUAGCUUAGUCACCAAAGCAAUCAACACCAAAAUACACACAAUGGGUAGGGCACUGAAACUUGGAAGAGUGAAAGAGUAAAGUAGUGCGUUUUUAGCUUACAAAGUGACAUUGCGAGCUUUUAUCUAUCUUUCGUCCGUAAACUUGAUCUUUAAACAACAUCUCAUAAAUUGCCAAGCCAAUUUCAUGCAAACUUACGAUAUUGUCUAGUCAGUUUUUGUUUUGCUUGCAAUCGUUAUAUGACAUGACUAAAGACAUUUAGUUUUAUUCUUAAGUUAUUAUGUUUAUGUUUGUAUAAGACCCAAAAAUAUUGUUAAGAUUCAUUUUUACAAUUUUGAAAGCCAUUAUUGCUCUAGUCUGUUUUUGUUUUGCUUGCAAUCGUUAUAUGACAUGACUAAAGACAUUUAGUUUAAAUCUUUAGUUAUUAUGUCUAUGAGGGGCGUCCGUGGCCGAGUGGUUAAGGUCAUUGACUUCAAACCACUUGCCCCUCACCACUGUGGGUUGGAAUCCCGACAGGGGCUUUGGAUUCUUUCAUGUGAGGAAGCUAUCCAGCUGGCUUAACUGAACGUCGGUGGUUCUACUCAGAUACCCGUUCGUGCAUGAAAUAAUGCAAGGAAGGGCACCUGAACGUCACGAUAUGACCUAUACUGUGUCGAUGUGACAUAAAAACCCAAAACAAACAAACAAAAAAUUAUGUCUAUGAAAUUCGUUGUUUGUAUAAGACCCAAAUAUAUUGUUGUGAUUAAUUUUAACAAUUUUGAAAGCCAUAAUUGUUCGUGUCAGAUAUUGUUUUGCUCACAAUCAUAAUGUUAUAUGACAUGAGUUUAAAUCUGAAGGUAUUAUGUCCAUGAAAUAUGUUGUUUGUAUAAGACCAAAAUAUAUUUUUGAGAUUCAUUUUUACAAUUUUGAAAGCCAUUAUUGGUCUAGUUUGUUUUUGCAUAACACAUAACGCUUUUGUUAGUAUUUAUUGUUAUUAAUAGUGAUUUGUCUAAGUGGAUGUCGAAGUAUGUAUGUUAUUCCAUGCCAGUUCAUGUUUGAAUGAAACUUUUUGUCCAGAUAGAAGAUUUCAAACUGUAACUUUUCUGAUUUUUAGCUUUUACAACAAUAUUAUAUUUCCCAUUUUUGGUGCUAAGAAAUACUGCAACAUGUGCUGAAUAAUAGCUAUUGUCAAACAUUGUUUUUAUGCUCCCCGAAAAAUUUCGGGGGAGCAUAUAGUCAUCGGGUUGUCUGUCCGUCUGUCUGUACGUACAUACGAACCCGAAUUCGUGUCCAGCCUAUAACUUUGUUAUUUCAAGUUGGAUUUUAAAACUAUUUCACAGAAAUGAUCACCAUAUUGAGACGACGUGUCGCCCGCAACAUUUGGGUCGCUACCUUGAAGGUCAAGGUCACACCAUGACCUUGAACAAAAAUCAUGUCCGGCCCAUAACUUCGUUAUUUGAAGUCGGAUUUUAAAGCUAUUUAAAAGUAAUGAUCACCAUAUUGAGACGAUGUGUCGUGCGCAACAUUUGGGUCGUUACCUUGAAGGUCAAGGUCACAGCAUGACCUUGAACAAAAAUUGUGUCCGGCCCAUAACUUGGUUAUUUGAUGUCGGAUUUUACAACUAUUUCACAGAAAUGAUCACCAUAUUGAGACGAUGUGUCACACACACCAUUUGGGUCAAUACCUUGAAGGUCAAGGUCGCAACAUGACAUUGAAGUAAAAUCGUGUCCGGCCCAUAAAUUCGUUAUUUGAAGUCGGAUUUUACAACUAUUCCACCGAAAUGAUCAACCAUAUUGAGAUGAUGUGUCACACGCAACAUUUGGGUCAUUACCUUGAAGGUCAAGGUCACAGCAUGACCUUGAAGCAAAAAUGUGUCUGGCCCAUAACGUCGUUAUUUAAAGUGGGAUUUUACAACUAUUUUGGAAUUAUCACACUUUGAACUUUGUCUGGGACAUAACCCUGAAACUUCAAAAGAUAGACUUUUCUGUGUCCAAAUCCUAGUCGGGGAGGAUCACCCCGGUUCAACCGGCUCUUGUUUUAAUUGAUUAUUAAGUAAUAUGAACAAUUCAUGAUAGAAUCAUAACUAAAGAGUGGAAAUUUAUGAAAGUCAAAUAUGUAUAGAAUCAGUUGCUAAUAAAAUGUGUGUAAAAUUUAUCUCUUUUUUUAACUCGGGAAUUAGUUUCUUUAUUUUACAAAUUUAUCAAAUUUCAUUUUAUUCUACUGAUAUGUUUGUAAUAUUUCUUUUAUUUUCUAUUGAAAAAAUGUGUUAAACCAAUAUGUAUUUGUUUUCUUAUAAUUCAGCUAGUUUUAAUUAUUCCAAUGUUUGA